UAUUAAUGCAUAAUGUCAUUUCUGGAACUCUUCCAACAGUUAUGGGUCACAAUGACAAUAUGCCACUCCAUUGGCUGAGCACUUGUUUGCAACAAUGAGCUACACAUGUUGGCCAAUACUGCCACAAUUUAACGCUUCUGUUCCUCUUGGCACAUCUGAAUGGGUGGCAUCUGGUCCAAAUUUUGGGUCCCUUUGAGGAUGCGUGAUAGGUAACUCUCAUCUGGAUAGCAGAGACACUUGACCAGCCAAUUACGUAUUCUGGAAUCCAGGAAGUUUAUGUAGGGAGCUUAAACGGAAGAUGCGUCUGAGAAACUCCCAUCAAGAGCACAUCCCAGCUUUUCAACGAUUGUAUAAGCCAGCGUUUGUUAAGUGCUUCCUCUGUCCCAGGAACUCUUUCAAGUGUUUUACGUGUAGUAACUCUUUUCAUAUAUGACCAUCUUAUGAAAUCCCCAAAAACCAAAAAUGUGACACACACCUUAUAGUUCCCAACUUGCAAGAACAUACAUGCAGAAUAGAAGGAGAAGCCCUCAGGCUGUUUUAAUGUUGAUUAUCUACACUCAGCUGCAAUUCUUGCAAGAACUCUUGAGACUGACCUAGUUCUCAAGGUGUUCCGCUGGUGAAAGAGGACACAUCUCUUAGAUCAGGCUGUCACACGAUGGAAAUAAUCACCAACAGAUGGUGAUAAUCUGUUACCAGUCUAAUGGAGAUCCCUGAAGAUAUGCUGGGCAAUGAAGUUUUCACUAAGGACACUUGCUACUAAAGUAUAAAGUGAAUAAACAGAACAUCCGGUACAGCUGGAAGGGAAGCUGCUUCUGAUUAGAGAGGAGGAAUACACAGCCAGCUUAAGCUCCAGUGGCAGAAAUCACUCUACAUCAAUUUCUGUAUCUACUCUUGACUUUUAGCCUUGUUGACUAUUCAACCACUUACCCUACUGUUCCCUGAGCAUCAGAUGUACUUAGUGACAGCUGUUGGAUCAAACACACCUAAAGCAUGUGGACACACACACCCUGGCCUGUCUGGGAGAAUUCAUGUUCUUUAUUUUUGGGGUUUAGACAGGGAGCAAGGGUCAAGACUGUUCAGAAUUUAUUUAUUUGCUCAUCCUUAUGGUAGGAUGUAUAACCUGGAUGUUAUUAAGAUAUGGGAGAUUUUUAAAGAGGCUUUUUAUUUGUAUGGUUUCUUCAGACUUAGUCAGCUAAUGCCUGUUAUGGACAAUAGUAAAUGUCACUUAAUUAAAAAAUCACAAACUAAUAAUGCUGUAUAUAAACUUGCUACUCGAAGUGUGGUCCACAGACCAGCAGUAUCAGCGUCAUCUGGGAACUCAUUAAAAUUACAGAAUUUCAGCCCCACCUCAGACACACUGAAUUGGAAUCUGCAUUUUUUCAAGAUUUUCAGUUCACACGUAGGCACAUUAAAAUUUGAGAAGCAUUCCCCUGACUCUAUAGUAUCU
Molecule: long non-coding RNA, 1447 nt
Filed under: Equus caballus (horse)
Lineage: Eukaryota; Metazoa; Chordata; Mammalia; Perissodactyla; Equidae
Description: lncRNA (ENSECAG00000051214.1)
Source: RNAcentral